CUGCUGUCCAAAUACAAAACCCACCACUUCCCAAAUGCUACAUACUGCCUUCCCCUGCAGUUAUGUAAGAGAGCAGUGACCUUUCACGAGAAGAGCUUGGCAUUUACAAGACCCAGGUGCCAAGCUCAGGGGUUUCUUCCCUCAUUAAGGGCAACUGUGUCUGCUUGUCUGGCUCUAUGGCAUACAGCUGUGCUGUCUGACCACAGGGACCUGGCCUUGCUGCUGAGCAGACAUCUUUUGGAAAGUGAAUACACAAGGAGCCCUCACGCUUCCAUGGUCUCAGAAAAGUUUUAUCCAGUUUCCUUAUGGCCCAGGUCCUGUAUGGCACACCUGCCAGUGACAGCCUCACCUGUAACUUGUUUUCCUUCUGGAACAGCAGGUCCCAAAUCUGUGGCUGCUGCAAGUCACGGACACAGCCUGUAG
RNAcentral lists this long non-coding RNA (423 nucleotides) under Anas platyrhynchos platyrhynchos (common mallard). RNAcentral's name for it is "lncRNA (ENSAPLG00000030061.1)". The record is from RNAcentral. Lineage: Eukaryota; Metazoa; Chordata; Aves; Anseriformes; Anatidae.